RNAcentral lists this ribosomal RNA (254 nucleotides) under uncultured bacterium. RNAcentral describes it as "partial 16S ribosomal RNA". It matches the Rfam family "Bacterial small subunit ribosomal RNA", at positions 524 to 777 of the family's 1533-position model. The record is from RNAcentral.
UACGAAGGGGGCUAGCGUUGUUCGGAUUUACUGGGCGUAAAGCGCACGUAGGCGGAUCUUUAAGUCAGAGGUGAAAUCCCGGAGCUCAACUUCGGAACUGCCUUUGAUACUGGGGAUCUCGAGUUCGGGAGAGGUGAGUGGAACUGCGAGUGUAGAGGUGAAAUUCGUAGAUAUUCGCAAGAACACCAGUGCGAAGGCGGCUCACUGGCCCGAGUACUGACGCUGAAGUGCGAAAGCGUGGGGAGCAAACAGGG